This 269-nucleotide ribosomal RNA is filed under the name uncultured prokaryote. RNAcentral describes it as "partial 16S ribosomal RNA". It matches the Rfam family "Bacterial small subunit ribosomal RNA", at positions 524 to 792 of the family's 1533-position model. The record is from RNAcentral.
UACGGAGGAUGCGAGCGUUAUCCGGAUUCAUUGGGUUUAAAGGGUGCGCAGGCGGGAGAUUAAGUCGGCGGUGAAAUUUUGCAGCUCAACUGUAAAAGUGCCUUCGAUACUGGUUUCCUUGAGUGUGGAUGAAGUAGGCGGAAUUUGUGGUGUAGCGGUGAAAUGCUUAGAUAUCACGAGGAACUCCGAUUGCGCAGGCAGCUUACUAAACCACUACUGACGCUCAGGCACGAAGGCGUGGGGAUCAAACAGGAUUAGAUACCCGGGUA